This is a long non-coding RNA of Apis dorsata (giant honeybee), 524 nucleotides long. RefSeq lists it as uncharacterized. Lineage: Eukaryota; Metazoa; Arthropoda; Insecta; Hymenoptera; Apidae. The record is from RefSeq and is a predicted model, not a curated record. The transcript is spliced from 3 exons.
UCUCUCCUCACGAGGGCGCCACAUAUUGGGCUUCUUUUCUCUUUUUUCCAUAUAAAACGCGCCUUCUUCCGGUAAAUUUCCGCGAUCGGCCGUGACGACGACGUUUUUUUUUAUCUUUUUUUUUCUUUUUUCUUUUUUCUAUUUAUAUCUUUACAUAUCUUCGCAAUCGCGCUCGUUAUAUUAUCAAUGUAUCUACCCUUCCGUUUUUCUUCUUUUUUCUUUUUUUUCCCUUCAUCAUUAUCAUCAUCAUCAUCAUCAUCAUCAUCAUCAUCAUCGUUAAUUACAAUAUAUAGACAUAUAUUUAUAUAUAUUUUUUUUCAAUUGUAAUAUAUAAUAUAAUAUAAUCCCUACCAUAUAAUAAUUCUUUUUUUCACAUACCGAUCAUAUUUCAAAUCGUCAUCAAACAGCGAAAAAAUCUGUUAAUUAUAUAUAUCUAUAUAUAAGACCGCGGCGUCUAUGGUCGUUCGAAUCAUUCGAACGAUUCUUCAUCGUUUAUGCGUAUGCGUUGAACUUACUAUAUAUAU